Molecule: ribosomal RNA, 478 nt
Filed under: uncultured bacterium
Lineage: Bacteria
Description: partial 16S ribosomal RNA
Rfam family: Bacterial small subunit ribosomal RNA
Source: RNAcentral
GACGAACGCUGGCGGCGUGCUUAACACAUGCAAGUCGAACGGGAUUUAGUAGACAGAAGCCUCGGCUAAAGAUUACUAAUGAGAGUGGCGAACGGGUGAGUAACGCGUGAGCAACCUGCCUAUGACAGUGGGAUAGCCUCGGGAAACCGGGAUUAAUACCGCAUAAAAUCGUAGAAACACAUGUUUUAACGGUCAAAGAUUUAUCGGUCAUAGAUGGGCUCGCGUCUGAUUAGCUAGUUGGUGAGAUAACAGCCCACCAAGGCGACGAUCAGUAGCCGGUCUGAGAGGAUGAACGGCCACAUUGGAACUGAGACACGGUCCAAACUCCCACGGGAGGCAGCAGUGGGGAAUAUUGCACAAUGGGGGAAACCCUGAUGCAGCGACGCCGCGUGAACGAAGAAGGUAUUCGUAUCGUAAAGUUCUGUCCUAUGGGAAGAUAAUGACAGUACCAUAGAAGAAAGCUCCGGCUAAAUACGUG